Molecule: ribosomal RNA, 253 nt
Filed under: uncultured bacterium
Lineage: Bacteria
Description: partial 16S ribosomal RNA
Rfam family: Bacterial small subunit ribosomal RNA
Source: RNAcentral
UACGUAGGGUGCGAGCGUUGUCCGGAAUUAUUGGGCGUAAAGAGCUUGUAGGCGGUUUGUCGCGUCUGCUGUGAAAAUCCGGGGCUCAACCCCGGACUUGCAGUGGGUACGGGCAGACUAGAGUGCGGUAGGGGAGAAUGGAAUUCCUGGUGUAGCGGUGGAAUGCGCAGAUAUCAGGAGGAACACCGAUGGCGAAGGCAGUUCUCUGGGCCGUAACUGACGCUGAGGAGCGAAAGCGUGGGGAGCGAACAGG